UCUCGCGCAAACUAUUCAGUUUAGAAAAAAAAUAUAUUAGAAACCUCAAUAUCAUUUUUAAAGACCUAUCCAUAGAUACCCCACACGUAUGGGUUUGAUGAAAAAAAAAAAAUCGGGUUUCGGUUCUAUAUAUGGGGAACCCCCAAAAUUUAUUGUUUUUUUUUCUAUUUUUGUGUGAAAAUCUUAAUGCGGUUCACAGAAUACAUCUACUUACGAAGUUUCAACAGUAUAGUUCUUAUAGUUUCG
Long non-coding RNA from Cydia splendana, 246 nucleotides. RefSeq lists it as uncharacterized. The transcript is spliced from 2 exons. NCBI's taxonomy places the organism in Eukaryota, Metazoa, Arthropoda, Insecta, Lepidoptera, Tortricidae. The record is from RefSeq and is a predicted model, not a curated record.